AUUGAACGCUGGCGGCAGGCCUAACACAUGCAAGUCGAGCGGAUGAAGGGAGCUUGCUCCUGGAUUCAGCGGCGGACGGGUGAGUAAUGCCUAGGAAUCUGCCUGGUAGUGGGGGAUAACGUCCGGAAACGGGCGCUAAUACCGCAUACGUCCUGAGGGAGAAAGUGGGGGAUCUUCGGACUUCACGCUAUCAGAUGAGCCUAGGUCGGAUUAGCUAGUUGGUGGGGUAAAGGCCUACCAAGGCGACGAUCCGUAACUGGUCUGAGAGGAUGAUCAGUCACACUGGAACUGAGACACGGUCCAGACUCCUACGGGAGGCAGCAGUGGGGAAUAUUGGACAAUGGGCGAAAGCCUGAUCCAGCCAUGCCGCGUGUGUGAAGAAGGUCUUCGGAUUGUAAAGCACUUUAAGUUGGGAGGAAGGGCAGUAAGUUAAUACCUUGCUUUAUUGACGUUACCAACAGAAUAAGCACCGGCUAACUUCGUG
This 484-nucleotide ribosomal RNA is filed under the name uncultured bacterium. RNAcentral's name for it is "partial 16S ribosomal RNA". It matches the Rfam family "Bacterial small subunit ribosomal RNA", at positions 30 to 507 of the family's 1533-position model. The record is from RNAcentral.